Mustela erminea (ermine) is the source of this 600-nucleotide long non-coding RNA. RefSeq lists it as uncharacterized. The transcript has 3 exons. The record is from RefSeq and is a predicted model, not a curated record. NCBI's taxonomy places the organism in Eukaryota, Metazoa, Chordata, Mammalia, Carnivora, Mustelidae.
UGUUGCUCUGGGGGCGUCCCUUCAAAUAGUGCAGAGGAGUGUCAAGGUUAUACAGAGCUGUGAUAUGCAGGUUAAUAUAAAGUGCUCUUUGCGGAGACAGUGGUUAGCCCUUAAGUAACCACCAGAAGUCGCAGUCUGGAUCCAGUUAGUGAAAUUUCCACAAGUGAAGCAGCCAGUGAUAGUAGUAGCUCCAAUGGUAGCAACAAAGGCCAGCUCACCUCGCUGCCACGUAUCCCUGGGGCAUACAACGCUGACGUCAGCAGGGCUUCCGACGCCAUCGAUGGCAGGAGUUACCAGCGGGAGCUUCUCUCAGGGUCUCUUCAGAUUUAUGCAAAAAAUUCCAUUUUAUUGCUCCUCUGUUGUCAUGGUUUCUGCCAUCUGAAGUGUCAUCUGUGAUCUCAUUACUUCAUACAUUUUGAAAAUCUCUGAACCAGAAGUUGAACUUAGCAAGGAUUCUGAGGAGAGGCAAAGAGGUCAACGUCUCCAGUGCUGACAAAUAUGGUUCCUUAUUAUAGAGGAAAAAAUUGUAUACAACUUCUUUUCAAAAGGAUCAAAGUCAACACAUACACAUAACAGUUAUGCCCAAGGGAAUAAGAAAUC